Molecule: long non-coding RNA, 2572 nt
Organism: Astyanax mexicanus (Mexican tetra)
Lineage: Eukaryota; Metazoa; Chordata; Actinopteri; Characiformes; Acestrorhamphidae
Exons: 2
Source: RefSeq, a predicted model, not a curated record
GGAGGCUGGAGGCUGGAGGCUGGUCCGGAGCGGUGAAAGGAUGCUCCAGCUGUCUGCAGGUUAUCUGGAGGAUGAUCUGGUCGGGCGUGGCCUCUGGAAAACACCCUGAGCAAGAAACACUAAGAGCAAGGAAACCAUGGAACCAAUCAGAAGAAAACAUCUGAGACUUCAAUCUGAGAUGCUCCUGUAUGAUAAAGCACUGGAGAUGGUGUAACACUGAUGGUGUUAACAUGGUGUUUAUUAGGGCCUGAGCACCGAAGGCGCAUUUUUUACACGUUUUUCACACAUUUUUCACGAACUCCUCCUAAAGGUUUUGUCAGAUUACCUCAAAAGUGGAUCUCAAUAGACUCCAGACAUGGAGACAUGGUGAUAAAUUGCGAAGAAAUAAUCGAUAGCUGAAACAAUGGCAUAAUGGCAGUCCGUUAAUUUUAUUGGAGACGCAACACUAGACCAAAUGGAAACAUGAGCAUGGUCAGAACACAGCUACUUAGAAAUUCAUGAAACUUGGCAGAAACAUAAGAGAUAUCAUUGCACAUGUCAUCAGUAUUGGUAUGACUGACUCCGCCCAACAGGAAGUUGAUCAUUUUGAAAUAUGUGCAUUUCACACAUAUUUUUUGCAUACUUUGACAAACUCCUCCUAGGGAAUUUGUCAAAUAAAAAUAUUGUUAUUUGCAAGCAAUACAUUUGAUAAAUCAAAUAUAUCUGAUGAUAAAUUCUGAAGGAAUAGUUGAAUUGCUUGAGAAGCCCAUCGAAACAGGAAGUGGAAACAUCUAGGUAAAGCUAGGUGUUUUGAAGUGGUUACAAUAGAUGAAAACUCAUGAUACUUCACAGGCUUCCUUGUUUUACGCUGUCCUUUGAUCUGAAAUUAGAACUUAGUAUAUUUGUAUUUCGUCAGUUCUAUAGCGCCACCUAGGCUUUUAGUCCCUUUUUAUUAUUUCAAAAAUGCACAAAGAGUCUCACCAAGACCUCAAAAUGGUUUCAAAACAUUUUGACAAUUUUCUAACAUGUAGCUAGAGGACUCUACAGUGCCCCCUAUUUUGUUCAGCUAAUAAAUUUGCUGUUCUCCAAUAUUAUUGAAUUCCGGUCGGAACAUAGAUAUUAUGAUGCAGUACGUAUUAGCCAUUGAAUUGCAUUAGUUCCACCCAACCAGAAGUCAUCCAUCUUGAAAGAUAUCUUGUUUACUGCAGAAAGAAGUAGGCAUUACAUGAGUUCCUGAGUUUGCCAAAAGGUAAAUGUGAUUAACUGUACAUUUCGUGAGAAAUCACAUAUGGGUCCCACUUUAACUGAUUUCUCUGUUUGGCCCUGUAAGAUUUGCGCCGUUGUGCGAGGGCCCUACAUCCGCCUUCGUUUUUAUUUUUUUUUAUUUUACUACAUUUCAUAGGCUCACAAGAGCAGACAGUAGUUACACUUAGUUGUGCAAUUGUAUCAUUACCCAAUUUAUAUCUACAUGGUUUUUAAAUAUAAAAUUAUUUUUGCAGAUUUUUUCUCCAUAUAAAAAGUUUUGCCACCCCUCUUAUUUUCAUGUCUGGAGCUGAAGGUGGCUCUGUCUCUCCUACACUCAGCUCUACCUGUGAUCUCCAGUCUUUGGCCUACAAUACCCAGAAUGCACCUCACACUGACCUCACUCCCUCAUGCGAUCACACACUGACUCUGCACACAACACUAUCAGGAAGCAAAUCACCAGAAUAUUGGUCACACCUGUUCACCUCCCCGUAAAUACACCUUCACUUGUAAGUUAUCCUCUUUACAAAGCGUUAUCUCAUUUCCUGAUUUUUGCCAUCCUGUUACCACCCUGUUUCUGUACCUUGUCGAAUUUGAUUUUUGUGUAUAACCUUUAUACUGCUAUUCGUUUAUGGUAUGUUUAUUCUCUUUGGCGACUCUUUACCGUUAUUGAACCUGCUUGCUUUGACUAUUCAUUGUAUCCCUAAUUUAUUUAAUAAAGUAUUUGAUUCACAUCUGUGCAUUUUACAAGUAGCACCCAACCAACAACUUGCCGAGCACCUGAGACACCAUAGCAACCAUCUGAAAUGCCAUUGAAACUCCAUAGAAACCACCUAGCAUCAACAUUGCAACCACUAAAUAACCCUAUAACAACUGCCUGAAAUAAUCACCCUGAAAUCACCUUUCCAUCAUUUAAGGUAUGAAAACAGACAGUUCGCAAGGUGUAAUAUAGCAAUGAGCAUUGCUACUUGCCUUGCACAACGUGUAAGAUAGAGCUCUUGCUCUUCCUUUCCUCGGGCAGUCCUGAUGAGAGCCAGUUUCAUCAUCAUCAUAAUGUUUUUGAUGGUCUUAGUGACUGCACUUGAGGAUACUUACCUACUUGAGUUCUUGAAAUGUUUUUUUUUUCUACUUACUUAACUAGUUGUUGCUUCUCAUAACCUGGAUUAGGACAUUACUCAAAUAUUCACUAUUCACUGUAUACCUGUAACUCUACCUCUUCACUACUUUACUUUAACUGAUGCUCUCAAACACUUUAUUAAGAGACAAGAAAUUCAAGUAAUUAACUCUUGAUGAGUUCAGCACAGCUGUUAACUGAAAGCCUGAAUUCCAGGUGACUCUACCUCAUAAAACU